CGGACGGGUGAGUAACGCGUGGGUAACCUGCCUCAUACAGGGGGAUAACAGUUGGAAACGACUGCUAAUACCGCAUAAGCGCACAGGACCGCAUGGUCUGGUGUGAAAAACUCCGGUGGUAUGAGAUGGACCCGCGUCUGAUUAGCUAGUUGGUGGGGUAACGGCCUACCAAGGCGACGAUCAGUAGCCGACCUGAGAGGGUGACCGGCCACAUUGGGACUGAGACACGGCCCAGACUCCUACGGGAGGCAGCAGUGGGGGAUAUUGCACAAUGGAGGAAACUCUGAUGCAGCAACGCCGCGUGAGGGAAGAAGGUUUUCGGAUUGUAAACCUCUGUUUUAGUGAAGAAACAAAUGACGGUAGCUAAAGAGGAAGCCACGGCUAACUACGUG
RNAcentral lists this ribosomal RNA (392 nucleotides) under uncultured bacterium. RNAcentral describes it as "bacterial SSU rRNA". It matches the Rfam family "Bacterial small subunit ribosomal RNA", at positions 99 to 507 of the family's 1533-position model. The record is from RNAcentral.